UACGGAGGGUGCGAGCGUUGUCCGGAAUCACUGGGCGUAAAGGGCGCGUAGGCGGCCUGAUAAGUAGGGGGUGAAAUCCUGCGGCUUAACCGCAGGGCUGCCUUCUAAACUGUCGGGCUAGAGCACGGUAGAGGCAGAUGGAAUUCCCGGUGUAGCGGUGGAAUGCGUAGAGAUCGGGAAGAACAUCAGUGGCGAAGGCGGGUCUCUGGGCCACUACUGACGCUGAGAAGCGAAAGCAUGGGGAGCGAACAGG
RNAcentral lists this ribosomal RNA (253 nucleotides) under uncultured bacterium. Its description in RNAcentral is "partial 16S ribosomal RNA". It matches the Rfam family "Bacterial small subunit ribosomal RNA", at positions 524 to 776 of the family's 1533-position model. The record is from RNAcentral.